This 253-nucleotide ribosomal RNA is filed under the name uncultured bacterium. Its description in RNAcentral is "partial 16S ribosomal RNA". It matches the Rfam family "Bacterial small subunit ribosomal RNA", at positions 524 to 776 of the family's 1533-position model. The record is from RNAcentral.
GACAGAGGGUGCAAACGUUGUUCGGAAUUACUGGGCGUAAAGCGUGCGCAGGCGGCCUUGCAAGUCGGGCGUGAAAUCCCACGGCUCAACCGUGGAAAUGCACUCGAAACUGCUUGGCUAGAGUCUUGGAGAGGAAGGCGGAAUGCUUGGUGUAGAGGUGAAAUUCGUAGAUAUGGGGAGGAACACCGGUGGCGAAGGCGGUCACCUGGACGGAUACUGACGCUGAGACGCGAAAGCGUGGGGAGCAAACAGG